This 253-nucleotide ribosomal RNA is filed under the name uncultured bacterium. RNAcentral's name for it is "partial 16S ribosomal RNA". It matches the Rfam family "Bacterial small subunit ribosomal RNA", at positions 524 to 776 of the family's 1533-position model. The record is from RNAcentral.
UACGUAGGGGGCAAGCGUUGUCCGGAUUUAUUGGGCGUAAAGAGCGUGUAGGCGGCCAGAUAGGUCCGUUGUGAAAACUCGAGGCUCAACCUCGAGACGCCGAUGGAAACCAUCUGGCUAGAGUCCGGAAGAGGAGAGUGGAAUUCCCGGUGUAGCGGUGAAAUGCGCAGAUAUCGGGAAGAACACCCGUGGCUAAGGCGGCCCUCUAGUACGGUACUGACGCUGAGACGCGAAAGCGUGGGGAGCGAACAGG